Molecule: ribosomal RNA, 668 nt
Filed under: bacterium WP1ISO3
Lineage: Bacteria
Description: bacterial SSU rRNA
Rfam family: Bacterial small subunit ribosomal RNA
Source: RNAcentral
AGUCGAGCGGUAACAUUUCUAGCUUGCUAGAAGAUGACGAGCGGCGGACGGGUGAGUAAUGCUUGGGAACAUGCCUUGAGGUGGGGGACAACCAUUGGAAACGAUGGCUAAUACCGCAUAAUGUCUACGGACCAAAGGGGGCUUCGGCUCUCGCCUUUAGAUUGGCCCAAGUGGGAUUAGCUAGUUGGUGAGGUAAAGGCUCACCAAGGCGACGAUCCCUAGCUGGUUUGAGAGGAUGAUCAGCCACACUGGAACUGAGACACGGUCCAGACUCCUACGGGAGGCAGCAGUGGGGAAUAUUGCACAAUGGGCGCAAGCCUGAUGCAGCCAUGCCGCGUGUGUGAAGAAGGCCUUCGGGUUGUAAAGCACUUUCAGUCAGGAGGAAAGGUUAGUAGUUAAUACCUGCUAGCUGUGACGUUACUGACAGAAGAAGCACCGGCUAACUCCGUGCCAGCAGCCGCGGUAAUACGGAGGGUGCGAGCGUUAAUCGGAAUUACUGGGCGUAAAGCGUACGCAGGCGGUUUGUUAAGCGAGAUGUGAAAGCCCCGGGCUUAACCUGGGAACUGCAUUUCGAACUGGCAAACUAGAGUGUGAUAGAGGGUGGUAGAAUUUCAGGUGUAGCGGUGAAAUGCGUAGAGAUCUGAAGGAAUACCGAUGGCGAAGGCAGC